UGGGGAAUAUUGCGCAAUGGGCGAAAGCCUGACGCAGCAACGCCGCGUGAGGGAUGACGGCCUUCGGGUUGUAAACCUCUUUCAGCAGGGACGAAGCGAAAGUGACUGUACCUGCAGAAGAAGCGCCGGCUAACUACGUGCCAGCAGCCGCGGUAAUACGUAGGGCGCAAGCGUUGUCCGGAUUUAUUGGGCGUAAAGUGCUCGUAGGCGGUCUGUCGCGGCGGAUGUGAAAACCCGGAGCUCAACUCCGGGCCUGCAUUCGAUACGGGCAGACUUGAGUACUGCAGGGGAGACUGGAAUUCCUGGUGUAGCGGUGGAAUGCGCAGAUAUCAGGAGGAACACCGGUGGCGAAGGCGGGUCUCUGGGCAGAAACUGACGCUGAGGAGCGAAAGCGUGGGGAGCGAACA
Molecule: ribosomal RNA, 407 nt
Filed under: uncultured bacterium
Lineage: Bacteria
Description: bacterial SSU rRNA
Rfam family: Bacterial small subunit ribosomal RNA
Source: RNAcentral